Molecule: small RNA, 131 nt
Filed under: Salmonella enterica
Lineage: Bacteria; Pseudomonadati; Pseudomonadota; Gammaproteobacteria; Enterobacterales; Enterobacteriaceae
Also listed under: 1 other name
Description: RtT sRNA
Rfam family: RtT RNA
About the family: This family represents a bacterial cis-regulatory element known as RtT RNA.
Source: RNAcentral
UAUCUCUCCGUACGGGGAAAGAUGAGAAGCUUCGACUAAGGUUCGAUUCGAGCGCAGCGAGAAAGCGUUGCCGCAGGCAACGACCCGAAGGGUGAGGAGCGGAGCGACGAAUAAUCCUUCCCCCACCAUCA